RNAcentral lists this non-coding RNA (86 nucleotides) under Streptomyces sp. Lineage: Bacteria; Bacillati; Actinomycetota; Actinomycetes; Kitasatosporales; Streptomycetaceae. The record is from RNAcentral.
GGGGAAGCCGGUGCAAAUCCGGCGCUGACCCGCAACCGUGAACCACCGCCGUGGCAAGAGCACAGCCGUGGUGAGCCGGACUGCCC